This 1386-nucleotide ribosomal RNA is filed under the name metagenome. RNAcentral describes it as "SSU rRNA". It matches the Rfam family "Eukaryotic small subunit ribosomal RNA", at positions 1 to 1443 of the family's 1831-position model. The record is from RNAcentral.
UCUGGUUGAUCCUGCCAGUAGUCAUAUGCUUGUCUCAAAGAUUAAGCCAUGCAUGUCUAAGUAUAAAUAGUAUACAGUGAAACUGCGAAUGGCUCAUUAAAACAGUUAUAGUUUAUUUGAUAAUUGACAAUUACAUGGAUAACCGUGGUAAUUCUAGAGCUAAUACAUGCUUAAACGCCCGACUUUAUGGAAGGGUGGUAUUUAUUAGACUGAAGCCAAUAUUCCUUGUGUCUAUUGCGGCGAUUCAUAAUAACUGAUCGAAUCUCUUUUUGAGAUAAAUCAUUCAAGUUUCUGCCCUAUCAGCUUUCGAUGGUAGUGUAUUGGACUACCAUGGCAGUAACGGGUAACGAAGAAUUAGGGUUCGAUUUCGGAGAGGGAGCAUGAGAAACGGCUACCACAUCUAAGGAAGGCAGCAGGCGCGUAAAUUACCCAAUCCUGACUCAGGGAGGUAGUGACAAGAAAUAGCAAACCGGGAACCUCAUGGUUUCACGGUAUUGCAAUGAGAACAAUUUAAAACCCUUAGCGAGAUUCAAGUGGAGGACAAGUCUGGUGCCAGCACCCGCGGUAAUUCCAGCUCCACUAGCGUAUAUUAAAGUUGUUGCAGUUAAAAAGCUCGUAGUUGAACCUCUGUCUGGGGCUAGUUUUGGCUUUGGUCAGGCUAGUUCUAGGCAUCCGCCUACAAGACUUAGAGGGCAUUCAGUUGUUCACUAGGAGGAGUAGGCAUUUUACUUUGAAAAAAUUAGAGUGUUUAAGGCAGGCAAUCGCCCGCAUAUAUUAGCAUGGAAUAAUAGAAUAGGACACUUUUCCAUUUCGUUGGUUAUUGGAAUCGUGUAAUGAUUAAUAGGGACAGUUGUGGGCAUUUGUAUUUAAUUGUCAGAGGUGAAAUUCUUGGAUUUAUUAAAGACAAACUAACGCGAAAGCAUUUGCCAAGGAUGUUUUCAUUAAUCAAGAACGAAAGUUAGGGGAUCAAAGACGAUCAGAUACCGUCCUAGUCUUAACUAUAAACUAUUCCGACUCAAUGUUUGACUGGCUUAUAUAACCAGUUGAGCGUUGUAUGAGAAAUCAAAGUCUUUAGGUUCUGGGGGGAGUAUGGUUGCAAAGCUGAAACUUAAAGGAAUUGACGGAAGAGCACAACCAGGAGUGGAUUCUGCGGCUUAAUUUGACUCAACACGGGGAAACUUACCAGGUUAAAACAAUAGUGGGAUUGACAGUUUGAGAGCGCUUUCUUGAUUGGUUGGGUGGUGGUGCAUGGCCGUUCUUAGUUGGUGGAGUGAUUUGUCUGCUUAAUUGCGUUAACGAACGAGACCUUAACCUGCUUACUAGACUGGCGAUCAUCAAUCGUUAGCUCUUCUUAGAGGGACUUUGGUUGUUUUAACUCCAAGGCUG